This is a non-coding RNA of Peromyscus maniculatus bairdii (prairie deer mouse), 301 nucleotides long. The record is from RefSeq and is a predicted model, not a curated record. NCBI's taxonomy places the organism in Eukaryota, Metazoa, Chordata, Mammalia, Rodentia, Cricetidae.
GCUGGAGCUGUGCUGUUCAUAGCCAUCAUUCAUGGGAACCCACAGUUUAGACACCCUAAGUUAUCCAGGAAUUUCGCCAACCUAGAGGGUAAGAAAUCCAAUUUUCCAAGCAGAAGAGUGACAUGUCACCCAAACCUGUUCCCUCCUUUGAAAAGAUAACAGCCAUGCUUCCACAUUGGAGUAAUCAGCAAACUCCAGGCUCACAGGAUCCCAGGACUUAUCUGCCACCACUUGAAGAGCACAGCUUUCUGACAACAACUGAAAGGCCCUGGGUAGUUUCUUGCAGCUCAGGAUGACUAGG